Molecule: long non-coding RNA, 1271 nt
Organism: Lathyrus oleraceus (garden pea)
Lineage: Eukaryota; Viridiplantae; Streptophyta; Magnoliopsida; Fabales; Fabaceae
Exons: 2
Source: RefSeq, a predicted model, not a curated record
GCCAAAUCUGAUAAAGAACCAACUCAGGUGAGAAAUUAGAGACUUCACAAUGCUGAUAUUGCAUAGGAUGCAUCCCUGGAGUUGGCUGGGUUGACACCAAUGAGGCUGUAGUGGAGUUUUGCCAUCUAUGUUGAUGAUCACUUUUCGACUCGGAAGAAAAUGAGGAUGAAGUUGAGGAAGAUAACUGAUUCUCUGCCACUAGAAAUAAAUUUAGAACAAAGUCAGUCCUAGAAAGAAAGAAGAAGCACAAGCCAGAUAAUGUCAAAUAAAAAAGAAUAAAAGAUAAAUUGAAAAUAAGACAAUGAGGUUAUACUUAAAUUGGAUCCACGGCAGUCGCCAAACGCACAUUCAAGGUAUUAUUGACCCUUCGAUCAAGAUCUGAAGGUUCAAUAAUAUACAUAUUUUAGUUUUAAUUUUAUAAUUUUAAAUAUCAAAUUUAAAUCUCCACCAUCCGAUCUUGAUCAAAAGGCUACUAGUAUUCUGAAUGUGUGAAUGCAUGAUUCACCGACGGAAAGGAAACCCGGUCCGGUUAUACUAUCCAUGACUCUAAAUUGGAAAUAUACAGAAGAUAUAAUUACAUCUGUAAAAUGCUCACAUUUUCUCAAUGCAGACCAAGCAGCUAUUGCUGCAUUUUUCUGAGCCUGUUUCUUGGUUCUGGCUGGAUCGCCAGCAAAAUGCAUUCCUGCAAUCUCAACGGUACAAUAGAAGUUAGGGACAUGACCUGAUCCAGCACGGACGGUCCUAUAAACCGGAAGGUUCAGUCCAGCUCUGUGGGCAGUUUCCUGGAGCAAGUUUUUGUAUACUCCUGUCUCAUCCUGUAAACAUUCAAACAACAAUUGUUAAUUUGUAGCAUAUAUCUAACGAGUAGUGAUAGGAACACUCACUUUAAAACUCUCUCUAACACUCAUUCUCUUAUUGGACAAAAUUUAUGCGGAUCACAUCACUUUAUGUGCGGCUCAUUUCCAAAGUGGUGGGAGUCACAUGAAUUUUAUUCAAUAAAAGAGUGAACGUUGAAGAGUGUUAUAAUGAGUGUUGCUAGCACCUCUCAUAUUCAACAUUGCAAUACAAGAGUUUUAAUAUGGCGGUGAAUGUUAUACAUACCAUUCUAGUUCUUCUAUCCUCGCCUAAUAGAGAGGGGGAAUGUUAUACCCCCAUAUUCUUUAGAGUUUAGUUUCCUAAGACGAGGGGAUAAGCUAUAUUCAUGAUCUCAAACUCAUUUAUUCGAUUUGGAUGUAUAACUAUUAAAAUUAAUUAUUCAGUCUUCUUUUAAA